Uranotaenia lowii is the source of this 824-nucleotide long non-coding RNA. RefSeq lists it as uncharacterized. The record is from RefSeq and is a predicted model, not a curated record. NCBI's taxonomy places the organism in Eukaryota, Metazoa, Arthropoda, Insecta, Diptera, Culicidae. The transcript has 3 exons.
UUUCAAGCAUUUUGGAAGUUCUGACAAAAAAUGUUGAAAAUGGUUAAAAUUCAACCGCAGUAUGUAAGAAAAAACAGUUGCCAUCUUUGGACGCGCAGAAACUUUUUUGUAUUUUAAUGUUGUGCGUCGGAUUGACUGAUUAUUUCAGUUAUUUUUUCACUCCAAUUACCUGAUUACCUAACAAUAAGGAAAUUGCCCACUAUUGUACAAUGGGUCACCGGCUGCUCCGCAUUGAUCCGGAUCGGGAGCUUCCAGUAGAAUCCUGCAGUAGCAGGCAAUAGCAAAACCAGCGACAACGAUGCGAAAGGAGGCAAACUUUCCGAUAAGGAUGAUUCCAAUUCCAAUAGCGGAGGUGGUCCCAAAUUCCAUCCGAGAUCAUUGCUGUUCCUCUGCUGAACACCGGAGGGGAUACGAAAACGGUGUUUUUUUGCUUGAGACCAGUAUGCUUAGAUUGUGGCAUUUUCCAAAAGCAAUGAUAAGAAAAGCAUUUCCUCUCGUUCAGCGGUCUAUCUGGUUCGAGAAGCUGCAAUUGAAUUAAGGCACUAAACCAUGGGAGAAGCUGCCCCCGGAUCGGGUGCUUCUUAAUUACCGGAAAGCAGCGGGGCUUCAUUCGUAAAUGAUGGCAACAGACGAGGCAAUCAGGACAAAUUCUAUAAGGAUUACAAUUACGAUAACCAUGUUUUACAAUAAAACCUCUAUUUAUUAAAUUCAGAUUGAUUCUUGUCAUUCUACGUUCAUUCGGAUCAUUUUUCCCUGAAUUUCUGCUAAUUUUUUCUUUUUUUAUAAUGCUUGAAAAAUAACCAUUAUCGAAGUUCUCCUCAGAA